Molecule: ribosomal RNA, 741 nt
Filed under: uncultured bacterium
Lineage: Bacteria
Description: bacterial SSU rRNA
Rfam family: Bacterial small subunit ribosomal RNA
Source: RNAcentral
AGAGUUUGAUCCUGGCUCAGAACGAACGCUGGCGGCAGGCUUAACACAUGCAAGUCGAACGCACCUUCGGGUGAGUGGCAGACGGGUGAGUAACGCGUGGGAACGUGCCCUUCAGUUCGGAAUAACCCAGGGAAACUUGGGCUAAUACCGGAUACGUGCGAGAGCAGAAAGAUUUAUCGCUGAAGGAUCGGCCCGCGUCUGAUUAGCUAGUUGGUGGGGUAAUGGCCCACCCAAGGCGACGAUCAGUAGCUGGUCUGAGAGGAUGAUCAGCCACAUUGGGACUGAGACACGGCCCAAACUCCUACGGGAGGCAGCAGUGGGGAAUAUUGGACAAUGGGCGCAAGCCUGAUCCAGCCAUGCCGCGUGAGUGAUGAAGGCCUUAGGGUUGUAAAGCUCUUUCACCCACGACGAUAAUGACGGUAGUGGGAGAAGAAGCCCCGGCUAACUUCGUGCCAGCAGCCGCGGUAAUACGAAGGGGGCUAGCGUUGCUCGGAAUCACUGGGCGUAAAGGGCGCGUAGGCGGCCGAUCAAGUCAGGGGUGAAAGCCUGUGGCUCAACCACAGAAUUGCCUUUGAUACUGUUCGGCUCGAGACCGGAAGAGGUUGGUGGAACUGCGAGUGUAGAGGUGAAAUUCGUAGAUAUUCGCAAGAACACCAGUGGCGAAGGCGGCCAACUGGUCCGGUUCUGACGCUGAGGCGCGAAAGCGUGGGGAGCAAACAGGAUUAGAUACCCUAGUAGUCC